Molecule: ribosomal RNA, 502 nt
Filed under: uncultured bacterium
Lineage: Bacteria
Description: bacterial SSU rRNA
Rfam family: Bacterial small subunit ribosomal RNA
Source: RNAcentral
GAUGAACGCUAGCUACAGGCUUAACACAUGCAAGUCGAGGGGAAACGAUAUUGGAAGCUUGCUUCCGAUAGGCGUCGACCGGCGCACGGGUGAGUAACGCGUAUCCAACCUGCCCAUCACUUGGGGAUAACCUUGCGAAAGUAAGACUAAUACCCAAUGACGUCUCUAGAAGACAUCUGAAAGAGAUUAAAGAUUUAUCGGUGAUGGAUGGGGAUGCGUCUGAUUAGCUUGUUGGCGGGGUAACGGCCCACCAAGGCGACGAUCAGUAGGGGUUCCGAGAGGAAGGUCCCCCACAUUGGAACUGAGACACGGUCCAAACUCCUACGGGAGGCAGCAGUGAGGAAUAUUGGUCAAUGGACGAGAGUCUGAACCAGCCAAGUAGCGUGCAGGAUGACGGCCCUAUGGGUUGUAAACUGCUUUUAUAAGGGAAUAAAGUGGGAGUCGUGACUCUUUUUGCAUGUACCUUAUGAAUAAGGACCGGCUAAUUCCGUGCCAGCAGCCG